Molecule: ribosomal RNA, 406 nt
Filed under: uncultured bacterium
Lineage: Bacteria
Description: partial 16S ribosomal RNA
Rfam family: Bacterial small subunit ribosomal RNA
Source: RNAcentral
AUUGCACGCUGGCGGCAGGCCUAACACAUGCAAGUCGAACGCGUGGCGGACGGGUGCGUAAUGUCUGGGAAACUGCCUGAUGGAGGGGGAUAACUACUGGAAACGGUAGCUAAUACCGCAUACCAUCGGAUGUGCCCAGAUGGGAUUAGCUAGUAGGUGGGGUAACGGCUCACCUAGGCGACGAUCCCUAGCUGGUCUGAGAGGAUGACCAUCCACACUGGAACUGAGACACGGGCCAGACUCCGACGGGAGGCAGCAGUGGGGAAUAUUGCACAAUGGGCGCAAGCCUGAUGAAGCCAUGCCGCGUGUAUGAAGAAGGCCUUCGGGUUGGAAAGUACUUUCAGCGGGGAGGCGUUACCCGCAGAAGAAGCACCGGCUAACUCCGUGCCAGCAGCCGCGGUAAUUC